CUGCAGCCAAUUAAAUCCACCUCAGGGGGCCCGGUAGUGACUGUGGAGAGCAGCCUCGGUGGUAGUGAACGUAGCCUGUUGCCUAUAUGUGUUUCCCAAAAAACCCCGGAUAUGGUU
Molecule: small nucleolar RNA, 117 nt
Filed under: Mus pahari (shrew mouse)
Lineage: Eukaryota; Metazoa; Chordata; Mammalia; Rodentia; Muridae
Description: predicted gene, 24912 (MGP_PahariEiJ_G0034826.1)
Rfam family: Small nucleolar RNA SNORA70
About the family: snoRNA U70 seems to be exclusive to mammals and is a member of the H/ACA class of snoRNA which contain H (ANANNA) and ACA box motifs. H/ACA box snoRNAs are involved in the conversion of uridines to pseudouridines (5-ribosyluracil) a constituent of structural RNAs (transfer, ribosomal, small nuclear, and small nucleolar).
Source: RNAcentral